UUUCACCUUCUGCAGUGAAGUCAUGCUUCUUGUGGCUGUGACCCCAGAAUCAGUUGCUAGAGAAAUAAAUGUGGUGGCACAGAUUAAAUCACGGAUUUCAGCACAGAAUUGAGUGCAUGGACAAAGGAGAAGAUAAGUGCCUUUCUAAAAUAGAUACAUUUAUUAGAAAAAUCCAUUUGUUUUUGUCAGCUCUGUUUGAACAGAUUGUUCCAGAAUCAAAAUCUCCACUUAAUAGAAAUAUAUAUAUAUUUAAAUUUUGCAGUGAUCUUGUGCUCCUGGGUCUUGCCUAGUUUCCACUUAGAUAAGCUGAGAGGUUUACGCUACUUUCAAUGGACUUUGUUUAAAACCUCUGUUAGAAACUCCUCGUGUCUGGCAAUGCUAAACUGAGAAGGCAGUAUUGAAAAUAGGAGUUUGUCAUGUAACUCGCUUUCAGAGAACCCAGAUCCAGAGUGUGCUGGACUCUGCUUUUCUAUUCUCUCAGCCUCUCUUAAAUGCAAAGGGAGAUAAUCUUUUCCUAGAAGCACUUAGAACAAGAUUUUAAACCAUGAGUGCUGAGGUAUCAGAGUUCCUUUUUACCCAAAUAUCUGGAAAUAUGGCCUUCCUUGUGAUGUUCCUACACAAUUUUAGCAUAAAUGUAACAGUUAUAUCUGCAAAUGAGAAAAAUAUAUUCUGCAAUAAGACUUGCCUGGACUGCAAAUUAAAAUGUUUAAAGAACAUCAUUCUUUAGUUUUAGGCUCACCCGUAGUGGAAUGCGAUAUUGUAGAUUCCUUGUCUACCUCUUGCUCAGCCUUUGCUGUCUAAACAUAGGAUGUGCUGCUCAGGUCAAUGUGCUUGCUUUCACUGUUAGGGAGAAGCUCUGAAGGGAGCAGGAUGAAGCCAAAUACUGAACUGCGUGCUGGAGGCUGCUGUUGACUACAGAUGGAGUUGAAGUGAUCAGCUGAGAUCCACUUCUAGAUGGGUAAAGCCAGUUUGAGUGUGCUUACGUGUCUUCUGUGGGAAGAGGAGCAAUGGUUUGCCAUGAGCACUGCCCACCAAAUUGGAAGAAGAUAUAAUGAAUCUUCUCUGCAUCACAAGAAAAAGGCUACUCAAUCUUAAGACAACAUUUUAAUCUCAGUCAAAAAGGGGCAUCUUCAACAUAAGGCUGUCUGCAGUCAUGGGCAUGUCUCAAACGUUAACAAACAUCAUAUUUGAUGCUUCUUCCUCUGCCCAAGAAUAUAACUUUAUCAAAAGGAAAUUUCCUACUCGUUUGAGCAGUCUCCAUAGCAACAGCGCUGUACACCUGUGAUGUAUGGGCACAAGCUGUUACAACCUAUGAACUAGCUGGAGUGAGCUGUGCCCCACCCCCUGCCAAAGCCAGAGUACGUCUCCCAUGUAUCCAUGGCACCUGGUUCUCCGUGCCCCUGUUGCUAGCAGAAGCCCAGGUUCGACAAACCCUCCAGGAGGCUCUUGAGGUGCACUCAGGAGAUGUUGCUGAGAGGCACGAGCGGCUAGCUGUGCAAAAGCCACCUGAUGGUGUCAGGAAGAUGCCAUGCUCCAGUUGCACUGCAUCCUGCUGCCAUGGGCUGUGUGCAUGCAGCAGCAUCACCAGAGGAGAUGAUUCCAGAGUCCAACACCUGAGCACGGCCCCUCUGUCCUCAGCACCACGCCCUGCCCUCCGGCUCCCACCUGAGGAUUUGCUCCCAGAUGUUGUGUCACAGAAGUCAUUGGGAGGUGGCAUUGAGGCAUGUCCUGCAAUGGUGAGGAGAGGAGAGCCACUGACUUCAGAGCAAUGGAGAACGAAGAUGCCUUUGUGUUCACCCUGAAAUACAUCUGUGCUACAGUAAUAUGCUUCUGAAUCAGUGGCAGGGAGGUUGCUUACAGUUGUGCUAUUUUUACUGCAGUGAAAGCAAAGGAAGGCAUGCAAGGCUGUGAGCACAGGUAAGGCAGGGGUUAUGGGUUACUGGGUACAGCAGGCUGCAGCCUGUGGGCAGAGCAGUGAGGUUGAGCCCUGCUUUGGGCACCACAGUGGCAGCAGCCUAGGGAGUUCACUCAACCCAGGGGCAGCUUCUGGGGCUGUCUGUGAGCUCUGUCGCGGUGGUUUGGAUUUCAUGUCGCUCCCAUCCCUUGGUACUGUCCUGAUGGGUCGGUAUUGGUGGCAGUGAGCUGAUAAGUGAAGACAUCACAUAGAGGGAUUAGAUCCCUAAGGGGUUGUUUGAAUUUGGAGGAUAGCACAGA
This is a long non-coding RNA of Lagopus leucura (white-tailed ptarmigan), 2214 nucleotides long. RefSeq lists it as uncharacterized. The transcript has 7 exons. The record is from RefSeq and is a predicted model, not a curated record. Lineage: Eukaryota; Metazoa; Chordata; Aves; Galliformes; Phasianidae.